UGGGGAAUCUUGCGCAAUGGGCGAAAGCCUGACGCAGCGACGCCGCGUGAGCGAUGAAGGCCUUCGGGUUGUAAAGCUCUGUGGGGAGGGAAGAAUAAGCCUAGGCUAAUACCACUAGGUGAUGACGGUACCUCCUUAGCACGCACCGGCUAACUCUGUGCCAGCAGCCGCGGUAAGACAGAGGGUGCAAACGUUGUUCGGAAUUACUGGGCGUAAAGCGCGUGUAGGCGGCUAUGCAAGUCGGGCGUGAAAUCCCACGGCUCAACCGUGGAAGUGCACUCGAAACUGCGUAGCUAGAGUCCCGGAGAGGAAGGUGGAAUACUUGGUGUAGAGGUGAAAUUCGUAGAUAUCAAGUGGAACACCGGUGGCGAAGGCGGCCUUCUGGACGGUGACUGACGCUGAGACGCGAAAGCGUGGGGAGCAAAC
This 426-nucleotide ribosomal RNA is filed under the name uncultured bacterium. Its description in RNAcentral is "bacterial SSU rRNA". It matches the Rfam family "Bacterial small subunit ribosomal RNA", at positions 355 to 773 of the family's 1533-position model. The record is from RNAcentral.